CGUUGCUGAUCAGGUUUUAACGGA
Molecule: non-coding RNA, 24 nt
Filed under: Arabidopsis thaliana (thale cress)
Lineage: Eukaryota; Viridiplantae; Streptophyta; Magnoliopsida; Brassicales; Brassicaceae
Source: RNAcentral